UGGGGAAUCUUCCGCAAUGGGCGAAAGCCUGACGGAGCAACGCCGCGUGAGUGAAGACGGCCUUCGGGUUGUAAAGCUCUGUUAUUCGGGAAGAACGUCUUGGUUGUGAACAAUGACGAAGAGUGACGGUACCGAAAGAGAAAGCCACGGCUAACUACGUGCCAGCAGCCGCGGUAAUACGUAGGUGGCAAGCGUUGUCCGGAAUUAUUGGGCGUAAAGAGCGCGCAGGCGGUGAUGUAAGUCCGUCUUAAAAGUAGCGGGGCUUAACCCCGUGAUGGGAUGGAAACUGCAUGACUAGAGUAUCGGAGAGGAAAGUGGAAUUCCUAGUGUAGCGGUGAAAUGCGUAGAGAUUAGGAAGAACACCGGUGGCGAAGGCGACUUUCUGGACGAAGACUGACGCUGAGGCGCGAAAGCGUGG
This 418-nucleotide ribosomal RNA is filed under the name uncultured Dialister sp. Its description in RNAcentral is "bacterial SSU rRNA". It matches the Rfam family "Bacterial small subunit ribosomal RNA", at positions 355 to 764 of the family's 1533-position model. The record is from RNAcentral. Lineage: Bacteria; Bacillati; Bacillota; Negativicutes; Veillonellales; Veillonellaceae.